This 257-nucleotide ribosomal RNA is filed under the name Acinetobacter pittii. RNAcentral's name for it is "partial 16S ribosomal RNA". It matches the Rfam family "Bacterial small subunit ribosomal RNA", at positions 1 to 261 of the family's 1533-position model. Lineage: Bacteria; Pseudomonadati; Pseudomonadota; Gammaproteobacteria; Moraxellales; Moraxellaceae. The record is from RNAcentral.
AACUGAAGAGUUUGAUCAUGGCUCAGAUUGAACGCUGGCGGCAGGCUUAACACAUGCAAGUCGAGCGGAGAGAGGUAGCUUGCUACUGAUCUUAGCGGCGGACGGGUGAGUAAUGCUUAGGAAUCUGCCUAUUAGUGGGGGACAACAUUUCGAAAGGAAUGCUAAUACCGCAUACGUCCUACGGGAGAAAGCAGGGGAUCUUCGGACCUUGCGCUAAUAGAUGAGCCUAAGUCGGAUUAGCUAGUUGGUGGGGUAAA